UGAUGGAUGAUGAUAAAAAUCAGACGGAUUCCCACUGAUUUACACUGUGAUUACACAACCAGCUACUUCUGACACGA
Non-coding RNA from Populus trichocarpa (black cottonwood), 77 nucleotides. The record is from Rfam. NCBI's taxonomy places the organism in Eukaryota, Viridiplantae, Streptophyta, Magnoliopsida, Malpighiales, Salicaceae.